This 386-nucleotide ribosomal RNA is filed under the name uncultured bacterium. Its description in RNAcentral is "bacterial SSU rRNA". It matches the Rfam family "Bacterial small subunit ribosomal RNA", at positions 415 to 793 of the family's 1533-position model. The record is from RNAcentral.
CCUUCGGGUUGUAAAGUACUUUCAGCAGUGAGGAAGGUGGUGCAGUUAAUAGCUGUAUCAUUUGACGUUAGCUGCAGAAGAAGCACCGGCUAACUCCGUGCCAGCAGCCGCGGUAAUACGGAGGGUGCGAGCGUUAAUCGGAAUUACUGGGCGUAAAGCGCAUGCAGGUGGUUUGUUAAGUCAGAUGUGAAAGCCCCGGGGCUCAACCUCGGAAUUGCAUUUGAAACUGGCAGACUAGAGUACUGUAGAGGGGGUAGAAUUUCAGGUGUAGCGGUGAAAUGCGUAGAGAUCUGAAGGAAUACCAGUGGCGAAGGCGGCCCCCUGGACAAAGACUGACGCUCAGAUGCGAAAGCGUGGGGAGCAAACAGGAUUAGAUACCCUGGUAG